Molecule: long non-coding RNA, 814 nt
Organism: Puntigrus tetrazona (Sumatra barb)
Lineage: Eukaryota; Metazoa; Chordata; Actinopteri; Cypriniformes; Cyprinidae
Exons: 3
Source: RefSeq, a predicted model, not a curated record
UAUCUGAACAUUUCUCAAAUAAAUAUAUAUUAACUUGAGAAGUAAAAUGACUUAUUAAGUCUUGCUUUCUAAUAAAAACUUUAAACUAUGUGAACCUUUACAUAAAAAAACAAGGAGACCGUUUUUGACUCGUUUCAAACACAACAUCAUUUCUAUUAAUUUUCUUCUUAAAUAAACGUGUCUUGAUUUAUGAAUAUAUAUAAAUGUGUUCUGGGAAAGACAAAAACAAAACACAAAUUAAAGUCAAACGCUGAUGUCUACUUCCUGUGGAGGCUGGGCCGUGAUUGGCCGGAUUUAAAGUGUCAUCAAGAUCUCGAGCGACUGAUUGUGAAGAGGAAGGAAGUGAUGUUCUCCGUAACAGGAAGAGACCCACUGCUUCUGUAAAUGUCCUGAUCCCUCGUUAGACGCGGCAGACAGGAAGUGAUGUCAUCACGGUCAGGCUCUCGUAUAUUUUAGGGCGGAACUUCCUGUCCGUCUGACCAAUGACGCGUGGAGGUGAAUCAGUUCAUGUCUUCCUGUCAGCGCUCACAGAUUUCUGAGGAAGUAGCAGAUGGAAGACAGGAAGUGGUUUCUCAUUGUUCUGUGUCCAGAGGGGCCUUUUCUUAUCCUUCCUCUGUUCAGCGUCUAAAGCGGUGACCUUCAACACGACUGAAGCAGAAGCAGUGUGUGUCUGAGUUGAGUGUGUGCUUCAUCAGGCCUUUAUGAAUCAUCUAGUCUGAAACAGGACGUGUGAGUGUGAGUGUGUAUGUGUGUGUGUGUGAGUGUGUGUGUGUGUGUGUAUGUGAGAGUGUGUGUGUGUGUGUGUGUGUAUGUG